Molecule: ribosomal RNA, 631 nt
Filed under: Bacillus cereus
Lineage: Bacteria; Bacillati; Bacillota; Bacilli; Caryophanales; Bacillaceae
Description: bacterial SSU rRNA
Rfam family: Bacterial small subunit ribosomal RNA
Source: RNAcentral
CCCAUAAGACUGGGAUAACUCCGGGAAACCGGGGCUAAUACCGGAUAAUAUUUUGAACUGCAUGGUUCGAAAUUGAAAGGCGGCUUCGGCUGUCACUUAUGGAUGGACCCGCGUCGCAUUAGCUAGUUGGUGAGGUAACGGCUCACCAAGGCAACGAUGCGUAGCCGACCUGAGAGGGUGAUCGGCCACACUGGGACUGAGACACGGCCCAGACUCCUACGGGAGGCAGCAGUAGGGAAUCUUCCGCAAUGGACGAAAGUCUGACGGAGCAACGCCGCGUGAGUGAUGAAGGCUUUCGGGUCGUAAAACUCUGUUGUUAGGGAAGAACAAGUGCUAGUUGAAUAAGCUGGCACCUUGACGGUACCUAACCAGAAAGCCACGGCUAACUACGUGCCAGCAGCCGCGGUAAUACGUAGGUGGCAAGCGUUAUCCGGAAUUAUUGGGCGUAAAGCGCGCGCAGGUGGUUUCUUAAGUCUGAUGUGAAAGCCCACGGCUCAACCGUGGAGGGUCAUUGGAAACUGGGAGACUUGAGUGCAGAAGAGGAAAGUGGAAUUCCAUGUGUAGCGGUGAAAUGCGUAGAGAUAUGGAGGAACACCAGUGGCGAAGGCGACUUUCUGGUCUGUAACUGACA